Molecule: ribosomal RNA, 470 nt
Filed under: uncultured bacterium
Lineage: Bacteria
Description: partial 16S ribosomal RNA
Rfam family: Bacterial small subunit ribosomal RNA
Source: RNAcentral
UUCCAGACUCCUACGGGAGGCAGCAGUGGGGGAUAUUGCACAAUGGGGGGAACCCUGAUGCAGCGACGCCGCGUGGGUGAAGGUUUUCGGAUCGUAAACCUCUGUCAGGAGGGAAGAAAGCGCAUGGCGCCAAUCAGCCAUGCGUUGACGGUACCUCCAAAGGAAGCGCCGGCUAACUCCGUGCCAGCAGCCGCGGUAAUACGGAGGGCGCGAGCGUUAAUCGGAAUUACUGGGCGUAAAGCGCGCGUAGGCUGGUGUGUAAGUUGGGGGUGAAAUCCCACGGCUCAACCGUGGAACAGCCCUUGAUACUGCGCGACUUGAAUCCGGGAGAGGGUGGCGGAAUUCCAGGUGUAGGAGUGAAAUCCGUAGGUAUCUGGAGGAACAUCAGUGGCGAAGGCGGCCACCUGGACCGGUAUUGACGCUGAGGCGCGAAAGCGUGGGGAGCAAACAGGAUUAGAUACCCGAGUAAA